ACAUCAGAGAAAACACCUAAGCAAGCCUGCUCUACCUGGCAAAAUAAUAUCAGUGUUAUAUUCUAGCUGAACAUGUGUAUGCUUAUGGAGAUCUGUUUGAAAAUGUAAUGAUAAUUUGCUUUGGAAGAAAACAAAUAUAUGAAAAAUUAAAACCAGAAGUCAGGCUUCUUCCUCUCAGCCUUAUAAAAGACAGUAAAACUAGUGUAAAAAUCAGUGUAACUUAAUUGACUUUCCAAUGCUAAUUUAUGCUAAUGGAGGUUCUGGUCCAUAGUUUUCACCUGGGAACUCAAUAGCAAUGAGUGAUGGCUCCAAUUAGUCAUUAUAAUUGUGAGUUGCUAAAGCUAAUAUUAGUAGAACUGCAUGACAUUCUGGGUAUUUCCCCAAACUUUUCUGAUAAUAAGCCCUGUUCUACACAGCUGGAUCAUAUUUAGCUGCAAAUGUGUCUCAGCUGGGUUUCUUAGUCUUUUGGGUUAUCCAGGAGCGUUUGCAGAGGGCUCUCCUUUACUAGAAUACACCAGUAACUACCCACGAGUCCUGCCCAGAGUUACUACCUGCAAACAAUCAACCAGCCUUCCUCCUUGAUGGUUUUGAUUGGGCGUGAAGAGCGAUGUUUGUCUAUCAGAUAGUAACAGGCUGUCACUGUGAGAUACUCCCAUGUGUUCACCACCUGCAUGAGUACUGGCCUAUCCAGGAAGUCUGAUUAAAUUACGGAGAGUGAAAAAGAGAGAAUCAGCUUUAGUUCAUCUGAAAGAAUUUGCUGAAAGACUUCUUAAAUUCAAGGUACAGCAAAUUUAGCUUCUCUGAUGUACACAGAGAAGACUGCAUGAAGCAGGGAUGAUGGUUCAUGAGCUCAGCACCUGUGCUCACCAUCCUUUUGCUUUCCACAACACACAGAAGGCAGCUCAGGCUGUGUUUGCAAUGAACUCGAUCAUUUGGCAGCUGGGAGUGAGCAGCCCAAAGCCCAAGCUGGACGUAAAACUUCCCACUCUGAAGCCAUCCUACCUUCAGUGCUAUGUUUAUUCCUUGUCAAUAGCAUUACUCAAAGACAACAUUUUCUGUCCUUUGGGGAGAAUUACAUACAGCUUCAUCAGAUGGUGUCGUCUCAUCCUCUUGCAAAGUGAGGAUCCUGUCCUUCACCUGCGAUGAAGUUUUAUUAAAGGCUUCAGAACACUUCCACUUCUAAAUUACAGGAUUUUUCUUUGCUGAAGUAAAUAUCUAAAGUUAAACUCUAAAGAUAGAGCCUGCAGGAAUUAAUCGUUUGUCUAGACAUGUGAGUUAAUGCUAGUUGAAUAAUAGAUCUUCCCAAGAAACAACCUGCUUAAGUUGGCAACUGUGGGCUACACUGGGAAACCUAUACAAAAGUUCAUACCGUGUUGCCUAGGAAAAGCAAGCUAUACACUUAUUUUGGUUUGGUAGGAUAUAUUAACACAGAGAAUAAAAUAAUACUAAAAUAUAGAAGAUGGUAUGACGUAUUUCAAUGGUUCUGCUGUUUUACAGGGCAGAGGACAGCACAGAGCCUGUAUUAUAUAUGUAACUUAUUUAUAGGUUAUUAGUUAGAUGUACUUUUAUAAAGCAAUGAAAGAGAAACAGAUUUCCUGCUCAGAGUGCUGUUUUGUAAACAGUUGUGCUGGCUUCAGGAAAAAAAAAAAAUCUUAAUAGGGGGAUGCUCAGGGUUUUCCAUAUUAAGGGGCACUCUGAAAUUACCUAAGGGUUUCUCCAGGGUUGUUCCAUUAUGUCAGAAGUAUUUAUAUUGCCAGAAAGCUGCAAGUCAACUGCGGAAAAUGUAGCAAUGAAAUUCUUCAGGAAAGGACAAGAAAGAAUGACAAAAUACAGAGGAACAAUAGUAGGCAUCUGCCACAAACCACUUGAUUUGGAGGAGAACAAGAAUGUUCCAUCUCACAGCACACUGUAAUUGCAGAAGACUGUUAACCACUGUAAGGUCUGGAGAAGAAGAGGUACUACUAAGUGUUAAGGUUCUUCAUUUUUAUAGAGGAUAAUUUUAUGCUACUAGAAAUAAAGAUUUAAUUUUUGCCCACAAGGACUUUGUGCCUGGAAAGCAUUAACAAUAAGAAAAAGGAAGGUUCUAUUCUUAGCUUAUUUUGGCAACUAAUCCAAUUAGCAACAGUAGUUGAUUGGAUAGCCAACCAGCUGAAAUGAACUUGCCUAUAAAUCUUAUCUUUUAAUAACUGCAGCAACUUCCUUGCAUUUAUUUUCUCUGUCUUUUUUAGAAUUCAUGGUUUCCUGGUUACCUCCUAAUAUUUGAGACCCUCUGUUAUUCUUUCGUUUCAAAUCUGUCUGCUGCCAAUACGCAACGUUGGUGUCACCUUCUCUUUGGAAGAGGGUACUGAGCAGAAAGGGAGAGCAUAGAGCCAGAGCCCUUUGUGAUGGGAACCACUUCUGGUCAUCACUUCUUGAUCCCCAUCUGUUUUCAUCUGCAUGCAUUUGGUCCUCUUAUUUGAUACAGCAUCGUUCCCUCUCCCCUCUGCUUCUUUUCAUCCCCCUUCCUUCUGCUAUUUUUGGUCCAUUAUCCUAAGUACAGGUUGAUUUUUCCCUCUAUUUUCUUUUCCAACCCUGUAAAAAUAAUUAUUUUCAAUGUUGACCCUUCCUUACAGGGUGUCUACUUGCAGUGUAUUCCUUCCUAUUCCUCCUGAAUACUCAGACUAAACAACAAGGGGUCAGAGCAAUAUUUUUUUUCUUCAACAGGCCUUCAACUAGGGAAAAGCUAAUUAAUUAGCUGAGAGAGCUUCUCUGGGAGUAAGAGCAGGAGGACAUGUUCCCACUAGGCUACCCUGCUUUGUAUUUUAGAUAGGAUGCAACGUUUCGCAACCUUAUCACUUCUCUGCUGCAAACAAAGCCUGGUAAAUUUUAGGGAUCGUUUUCUUUCCACAGCUAAGCUUGAUAAGGUCUCUGCAGUGGGUUUAAAUCUUUCAAGGCUGCUGACGUCCCAUGGGCACAGGAAAAUCAUAUCUAGGUUUUUCUUAAGAACCUAGAAAGUUGCGUGAAGGACCUCAUUUUAUCCCCUUACCAUCCAGCAUUAGAUAUUGCGUGAUCAUGUAGCUAAAAUGAUUUUCUGUACCAUUCCUCAUAAAGUUGAAAUGAAAGAUUAAUUAAAGAUAUAUAUAUAUAUUUAAUCAGCCCACCUGAUAGCUUGUUGAUAAUGUUAAAAAUUUGGGAAAAGGAUAAGUCAGAAGCUUGAAAGAAAGACGCCUAUGGUAAUUAGCUGCUCUCCGUAUGACACUUCAAACCUACCUCUAGCCAGGUCUACUUAAACCAAACUUUUCAUAGGUAAUAAUUCUGCUUGACUCAUUUUUGGGUGCCUGACUUGCAACCCUAGACUAUGAUUUGUGCAUAUUGCUACAACUGAAGUCAACGACAGCUGUGUUUAGGACAUAUAAAAUACUACAUAAUGACACAGGCUCUGAAAAAAUGGAUCCUAGGCAUCUCCCAUGCAGCACUUACAGAUACACUUCGCUACUUCAUUCCUAAUUUCUCCCUGCUUCAAUUUCCCAUUUGCAAAAUUUCAUGUGACACGGAUGUUGUAGAAGGAAACUUCUGUUGCAGACCUACACAACAGUGAUGAGCUCAGUGAGAUGCUCAUGGAGGAAUUUGGGGCUGGUUUUGCCGUUGUUGUGACAGGACUUGAAUAGCACUCAAUAACUUGGGCAUAACGGGACCACACACUGAACAAUGAAGGAAAAAAAUACUGAACAGUACUGAAUUCAAUACUAUUCAGUACUGAAUAGUCCUGAAUGAGGCAAGGGUUGGGAGGGGGGAAAAAACCCUGUUUUUGAUUAUGUAACCAAAACCAAUAUCCUAAUGUGCAGACAGGGAGUCCAAACAAAGCUUGCAGGGGCAACCUUUAUUAUAAAUUUUGAAUGCUUGCCUUUGCAGCCUUAAGAAUGUUCUUUUAAUGUUAUUGUUUACAUAAUAAAAAGAUGAGAGAGAAACUAGGCCCAUUAGUAAAUGAGGAAAAGAAUAAAAUUAAUGACAAUUCAGAAAUAACUAGAACUGAUUCUACACUGGGGAUCUGCCCCAGUUACGGCCCUCAGUGGCCAGCCACCAGCACACCAUCAGCAGUACGAAUCCACUGUACAAACAAGGAACUUUACUGCAACUUCUGCAGGCUGCUGAAAUCAGCCGGACGUGCAUCAAGCAAUUUAUUUAAUUUCUGUUUAGAUUUAUUCUGCCUAAACUUGUCUUUUGAGCACUAGGUAGGCUGCAUCAGGGCCUGAAAUUCUGACUGAGAAUGCCCAACACACCUUUACAAGUAUGGGAAACUCUGCCUUUUGCAGGAGAAAAACUGUUCAGGUAGUAAGCCAGAUAUUUACAUGCAGCUAUUGAGAGGUAACGCGUACAGAUACUAAUGUCAUAUGGAUAUGCGUGUCAUAUGCAUUAUUUAAUAAAUCUGAAUGUGCAGCUGAUCAGCAAGCUAUUUUGGAAGUAAUGAAGAAGUGUAGUGAUGGCAGGAAAAUAAGUGAAAGGUGAAGAAGUUGAUUCUUGUUGAAGGAUUAAAACAACUAAACAGGUGCUUACUUGGCUCACUGACUUAACGAGAAGGUAUCCAUAAGAAAUAACUAAAAGAAAAUAAAGAGACUGUCUGUAUAGUGAUGUAUGUAGGUGUUACAACAAAAGGAUGAAAGUAGAAAAGAAGAAAACAAAAAUGCAGAGAAAUACUACAGGGCAUACAUACUGUACUCCUGUACUACAGGACAACACCUGGGCUCAUCAGCUGCUCUUUAUUCACGGUAAAACCAGAAGGCUCGGUCCAGACAAAGGUUUCACAGUUUGAGUUCUGAAGAAAGCUCCCAAUGAAGCCAGACCCUGACUUUACAUCCAAAAUUGUAAUUAAGAUGGAGAGUCAAUGAGCAGCAGAAAGUUCAUGGACAGUGGAUGAGGACAAGGACACGGACGGGCAGGAGGGGAAGCAGAAAGCACAGCAGCACGCCGGUUCCUUCCCUCUCUGUCAGAAGCAGCUCCCUGCCAGACCUCCCUGUCCUGUGGGUAUGCAGCAACACUCCUCCUGCUUCCUAUUUUUCUGGAUGGCAGAGGCAGAAACACAAACUUCAGAACAUGUGUCCACAACCACUGCUCUCAGAUCAAACUACCCCUUCUCACAGCACAGGAAUAACGAGGAAGCCAGAAUUCCUUCUUGGCUUACCCUCCUUUUG
Non-coding RNA from Anas platyrhynchos (mallard), 5168 nucleotides. The record is from RefSeq and is a predicted model, not a curated record. Lineage: Eukaryota; Metazoa; Chordata; Aves; Anseriformes; Anatidae.